RNAcentral lists this non-coding RNA (892 nucleotides) under Plectorhinchus cinctus (crescent sweetlips). RNAcentral's name for it is "partial 12S rRNA". It matches the Rfam family "Bacterial small subunit ribosomal RNA". The record is from RNAcentral. Lineage: Eukaryota; Metazoa; Chordata; Actinopteri; Lutjaniformes; Haemulidae.
ACCCCUGUGAGAAUGCCCUAGUUUCCUGCUUGGGAACAAGGAGCUGGUAUCAGGCACAACCUAUUCAAAGCCCAUGACACCUUGCUUAGCCACGCCCCCAAGGGAAUUCAGCAGUGAUAAACAUUAAGCCAUGAGUGAAAGCUCGACUUAGUUAAAGCUAAAAGGGCCGGUAAAACUCGUGCCAGCCACCGCGGUUAUACGAGAGGCCCAAGUUGAUAAGCAUCGGCGUAAAGAGUGGUUAAGACGAACCAGAAACUAAAGCCGAACACCCUCGCAGCUGUUAUACGCAAAUACGAAGGUCAGAAGCCCAACUACGAAAGUGGCUUUAUAUCAUCUGAACCCACGAAAGCUAAGGCACAAACUGGGAUUAGAUACCCCACUAUGCCUAGCCCUAAAUAUUGAUAGAGAACUACACCCACUAUCCGCCCGGGUACUACGAGUGUCAACUUAAAACCCAAAGGACUUGGCGGUGCUUUAGAUCCACCUAGAGGAGCCUGUUCUAGAACCGAUAACCCCCGUUCAACCUCACCCUUCCUUGUUCCCCCCGCCUAUAUACCACCGUCGUCAGCUUACCCUGUGAAGGCCCUACAGUAAGCAAAAUUGGCCCACCCUAAAACGCCAGGUCGAGGUGUAGCGCAUGGAAGGGGAAGAAAUGGGCUACAUUCACUAUGCCAGUGAAUUACGGAUAAUGCAUUGAAAUAUGCAAUUUGAAGGAGGAUUUAGCAGUAAGUGGGAAGCAGAGUGCCCCACUGAAAACGGCCCUGAAGCGCGCACACACCGCCCGUCACUCUCCCCAAGCCCUCCUUAGACCCUAAUUUCUAAAACCUUUUUUCGCAGAAGGGGAGGCAAGUCGUAACAUGGUAAGUGUACCGGAAGGUGUACUUGGAAUAUA